This 549-nucleotide ribosomal RNA is filed under the name uncultured bacterium. Its description in RNAcentral is "partial 16S ribosomal RNA". It matches the Rfam family "Bacterial small subunit ribosomal RNA", at positions 355 to 896 of the family's 1533-position model. The record is from RNAcentral.
UGGGGAAUUUUGGACAAUGGGCGCAAGCCUGAUCCAGCCAUGCCGCGUGCGGGAAGAAGGCCUUCGGGUCGUAAACCGCUUUUGUCAGGGAAGAAAUCUUCUGAGUUAAUACCUCGGGAGGAUGACGGUACCUGAAGAAUAAGCACCGGCUAACUACGUGCCAGCAGCCGCGGUAAUACGUAGGGUGCAAGCGUUAAUCGGAAUUACUGGGCGUAAAGCGUGCGCAGGCGGUUUUGUAAGACAGAGGUGAAAUCCCCGGGCUCAACCUGGGAACUGCCUUUGUGACUGCAAGGCUUGAGUGCGGCAGAGGGGGGAUGGAAUUCCGCGUGUAGCAGUGAAAUGCGUAGAUAUGCGGAGGAACACCGAUGGCGAAGGCAAUCCCCUGGGCCUGCACUGACGCUCAUGCACGAAAGCGUGGGGAGCAAACAGGAUUAGAUACCCUGGUAGUCCACGCCCUAAACGAUGUCAACUGGUUGUUGGGAAGGUUCCUUCUCAGUAACGUAGCUAACGCGUGAAGUUGACCGCCUGGGGAGUACGGCCGCAGGGUUG